Molecule: non-coding RNA, 2427 nt
Organism: Peromyscus maniculatus bairdii (prairie deer mouse)
Lineage: Eukaryota; Metazoa; Chordata; Mammalia; Rodentia; Cricetidae
Source: RefSeq, a predicted model, not a curated record
ACCAGCGGUCCCUGAGGUCGGAGGGCGGAGCUGGUGCCCCUAGCCAGGGCUUGGGAGCUUGGCAGUCCUGGAAGGUGUUUUUUCCGUCUUCCCUGGGACUCCACUGUGGUCUUCUUUACAUUAGUGUUUAAUUAUGCGACUAAAACAUGGCUGAAUUAACCUCACUUCGCGCUUAUCCUCACCGGAGGCUCCCCGAUCCUUUCCUCUAUGUGUACUAUGAAGCUUUCCAGAGCUGUCUGAAGUUCCUUAAACCUCUGCGGUGGGAUUUCCCAAGGCCACAAACAUCAUUACCAAAAGCAGCUCGGAGGAGGAAAAAGGUGUGCUCACCAUACAGCUUACACUCCAUCUUGAAGUGAAAUCAGGAACUCGAGCAGAGCAGGAACCUGGAGGCAGGAUAAGCAGAGUGCAGAGGGGAGCUGCUUACUGGCUCGAUGCCUCAGACCGGCUCAGCUUGCUUUCUUACCCCACCCAAGACCGCCUACCCAGGGGUGGCCCCACCCACAGUGUGAGCCCUCCCACGUCAGUCAAGAAAAUGGCCCACAGAUUGCCCGCAGGCCAGUCUCUCCACUGGAAAGGCCGGCCACCACCAUGUUCCAAGACCUUCCUCCUUGCCUUUCCACUAUCGUAUUCACAGACCCAGGAGAAAGAAGAUGGCGUGAGUUCUUCCCAGUGCCGACAGCAGCAUACUCCUGAAAGCCCAAUGUCACCUCUGCGGUCUCAAGCGUCUCACUGGAGCUUAGACUGCGUGGACACACCCCCUUUCAUCUCUGUCCUCCUCCUCCUCCCCGGCAAGGUGAAACUGAAUGUGGUCCUUUUGUGCCCGCUGUAUUCCUUCAAGCCCUCUCAUUUCUGUGUUAGGAUGUUAUUUAUUUUGGUUUCCAUGGGAGCAUUCAGUAGUGUUGUGGUUUGAAUCUUAAAUGUUCUCCGUAUACUAAAGGCUUGGUUGCCAGCCUGUCACACUCUUGGGGGAGGUAAAACUUUUAGGAGGCAAGGACAGGUGGAAGGAAGGAAGGUCAUUGUCGGGGGGACUUCGCUCCUCUUCUGCUUCUCUUUCCUUCCCAGCAGCAUCGAGGUGAGCAGGAUGUAUGGUCCUCACUGUGAUACAUUACCUCCCCUCCAGCCAAAAAACGAAAGCACCAAUCAAACAGCUGGGAUGAUGAGGCAGAAUACGUUUGUAAGUUGUUUCUCUCAAGCAUUUUAGUCAUGGCGAUGGAAAACCGAGGUAAGUGGCCCCGUGGUUUCUAAGGGACAAGAGUCCUUGAUGCUCAGGGUGGAUUUAUGAAGUGAUUCUUAAGUUCUAGGAGUUUUAACAUUAAAGAAAGGAGAAACAGAAUGAUUGAGAGAACUGACGUUCUGAAUGCAGCCUGUGCGUGUAAACCAACUACAUUGUUAGCUUACUUGGGAUUUGUUUCCUUUAGAGCGAGAAAAAGAACACGAUGCAGAUACGUAUGUAUGUAUAUAGAUAUGGAGACGUGUGUGUAUAUUUGUACAUAUGUGUAUAUAUGGACAUACACAUAUAUUUGUGAUUGUCAACUUGGCUGAACUUCUGAUCUUUCUUCAUCUUCUGGCAGCUAAAGAGAAGCAGUCGAUAUGAAAACAACUCCUGACAGCCAAGUCUAAACACAAAUGCCUGCUCCCUCUGCCCUCACCCUGUCAACCUACAAAACAUGGCUCCAUGUGGCAGGGCAGGGGGUGCCAUGACGUGUGUAGAGGCCAGAGGACAUUGUCCAGGAGCCAGUUUUCUCCACUCACCAUGUGGACCACCAUGUGGGUGGAUCUCAGGGUCACAGGCUUCCUGACCUCCACAGUCUGCCUGGCUAGAGACUCCCGUGCCUCUCAGCUCUCAGUUUCUCUGGAGCUGCAUCUCUGUGUUUACCCAUCCCUGUUGUGGAAGGUUCUCCAAAUCCGAGCGUCUCGCUCCCUCUGGUGUCUGCAUGCGGUACUGCAGAUAGAGCCCGGUAUAGCAGUUUGAGCUGCUGGGAUUCACUGCUACCUGCUGUGGUCAGAACUGCAACCAAGCUUCAUAAACAGACCAAACGGAGACAUCUUCCCAGUCCAAGAAAGGCAAGUGGGGCAUCCAACCACAGCAUACAACUGGAAGGGCAACUUCUACUUCUGGCCGUUGGGAAGCGUGCAAAUUGGCACCAGUGUUGGCCAGUUUCCCAGAUCCUGCAGGCUGAGGAGCACAGAAGUCAGGAAGUCCUUCACUUCACAGAUGCUUCACUCCAUCCAGCUGGCAGAGCUGGGUUAGUAGAGGUCUAGUCCCAGGAGGGCAGGGGUGAGGCAGAGGGUAAGCAUAUGAUGGUGCGCACACACCUAAUGCAUCGGAGGAAGGAGCCUCCAAUGAGCCACUAACACAGUCAUAUGGAAGUGUGGCUCCCAUUUUGAAAAUUCCUUUUUUGGACGGUGGAGGCUGGGGAAUGAACC